RNAcentral lists this ribosomal RNA (468 nucleotides) under uncultured bacterium. Its description in RNAcentral is "partial 16S ribosomal RNA". It matches the Rfam family "Bacterial small subunit ribosomal RNA", at positions 28 to 507 of the family's 1533-position model. The record is from RNAcentral.
GACGAACGCUGGCGGCGUGCUUAACACAUGCAAGUCGAACGGGAAGUCCCUGCUUUUGUGGGGUGCUCGAGUGGCGACCGGGUGAGUAACCCGUGAGUUACCUGCCCUUGACUGUGGGAUAACUUCAGGACACUGGGGCUCAUACCGGCUAGGAGCUCCUGCUGCAUGGUGGGGGUUGGUAAGAUUCGGCGGUUGGGGAUGGACUAGCGGCUUAUCAGCUUGUUGGUGGGGUAGUGGAUUACCAAGGCCAUGACAGGUAGCCUGCCUGGGAGGGUAACCGGCCACAUUGGAACGGAGAUGAGGCCCGGACUACUACGGGACGCAGGGGUGCGGAGUGUUACAUAGGGGGCUGAGGCCUGAUGUAGCCAAGCCGCGUGGGGUAAGACGGCCAGCGGGUUGGAUUCCGCUGUCGCCUUUGACGAAGCGUUAAUGACGGUAAUGGGUAAAGAAGCACCGGCUAACUCCGUG